RNAcentral lists this ribosomal RNA (911 nucleotides) under Escherichia coli. RNAcentral describes it as "partial 23S ribosomal RNA". It matches the Rfam family "Bacterial large subunit ribosomal RNA", at positions 322 to 1238 of the family's 2925-position model. Lineage: Bacteria; Pseudomonadati; Pseudomonadota; Gammaproteobacteria; Enterobacterales; Enterobacteriaceae. The record is from RNAcentral.
GUGUGUGUUAGUGGAAGCGUCUGGAAAGGCGCGCGAUACAGGGUGACAGCCCCGUACACAAAAAUGCACAUACUGUGAGCUCGAUGAGUAGGGCGGGACACGUGGUAUCCUGUCUGAAUAUGGGGGGACCAUCCUCCAAGGCUAAAUACUCCUGACUGACCGAUAGUGAACCAGUACCGUGAGGGAAAGGCGAAAAGAACCCCGGCGAGGGGAGUGAAAAAGAACCUGAAACCGUGUACGUACAAGCAGUGGGAGCCUCUUAAUGGGGUGACUGCGUACCUUUUGUAUAAUGGGUCAGCGACUUAUAUUCUGUAGCAAGGUUAACCGAAUAGGGGAGCCGAAGGGAAACCGAGUCUUAACUGGGCGUUAAGUUGCAGGGUAUAGACCCGAAACCCGGUGAUCUAGCCAUGGGCAGGUUGAAGGUUGGGUAACACUAACUGGAGGACCGAACCGACUAAUGUUGAAAAAUUAGCGGAUGACUUGUGGCUGGGGGUGAAAGGCCAAUCAAACCGGGAGAUAGCUGGUUCUCCCCGAAAGCUAUUUAGGUAGCGCCUCGUGAAUUCAUCUCCGGGGGUAGAGCACUGUUUCGGCAAGGGGGUCAUCCCGACUUACCAACCCGAUGCAAACUGCGAAUACCGGAGAAUGUUAUCACGGGAGACACACGGCGGGUGCUAACGUCCGUCGUGAAGAGGGAAACAACCCAGACCGCCAGCUAAGGUCCCAAAGUCAUGGUUAAGUGGGAAACGAUGUGGGAAGGCCCAGACAGCCAGGAUGUUGGCUUAGAAGCAGCCAUCAUUUAAAGAAAGCGUAAUAGCUCACUGGUCGAGUCGGCCUGCGCGGAAGAUGUAACGGGGCUAAACCAUGCACCGAAGCUGCGGCAGCGACACUAUGUGUUGUUGGGUAGGGGAGCG